RNAcentral lists this ribosomal RNA (339 nucleotides) under uncultured Nitrospirota bacterium. Its description in RNAcentral is "bacterial SSU rRNA". It matches the Rfam family "Bacterial small subunit ribosomal RNA", at positions 29 to 351 of the family's 1533-position model. Lineage: Bacteria; Pseudomonadati; Nitrospirota. The record is from RNAcentral.
AGUGAACGCUGGCGGCGUGCCUAACACAUGCAAGUCGAACGCGAAAGUCCUCUUCGGGGGACAAGUAGAGUGGCAGACGGGUGAGUAAUACAUAGGUAAUCUUCCCUUGAGUGGGGGACAACCUGCCGAAAGGCGAGCUAAUCCCGCAUAAUAUCAUGAAACAUAAGUUUUGUGAUCAAAGAGGGGGAUCCUUCGGGACCUUUCGCUUAAGGAUGAGCCUAUGUCCUAUUAGCUAGUUGGUGGGGUAAUGGCCUACCAAGGCGAUGAUGGGUAGCCGAGCUGAGAGGCUGAACGGCCACACUGGAACUGAAACACGGUCCAGACUCCUACGGGAGGCAG